Molecule: ribosomal RNA, 805 nt
Filed under: uncultured Kocuria sp.
Lineage: Bacteria; Bacillati; Actinomycetota; Actinomycetes; Micrococcales; Micrococcaceae
Description: bacterial SSU rRNA
Rfam family: Bacterial small subunit ribosomal RNA
Source: RNAcentral
GCUUGUAGGNGGUUUGUCGCGUNUGCUGUGAAANNCCCGGGGCUCAACCCCNGGGUNUGCAGUGGGUACGGGCAGACUAGAGUGCAGUAGGGGAGACUGGAAUUCCUGGUGUAGCGGUGAAAUGCGCAGAUAUCAGGAGGAACACCGAUGGCGAAGGCAGGUCUCUGGGCUGUUACUGACGCUGAGGAGCGAAAGCAUGGGGAGCGAACAGGAUUAGAUACCCUGGUAGUCCAUGCCGUAAACGUUGGGCACUAGGUGUGGGGGACAUUCCACGUUCUCCGCGCCGUAGCUAACGCAUUAAGUGCCCCGCCUGGGGAGUACGGCCGCAAGGCUAAAACUCAAAGGAAUUGACGGGGGCCCGCACAAGCGGCGGAGCAUGCGGAUUAAUUCGAUGCAACGCGAAGAACCUUACCAAGGCUUGACAUUCACCGGACCGCACUGGAGACAGUGUUUCCCUUCGGGGUCGGUGGACAGGUGGUGCAUGGUUGUCGUCAGCUCGUGUCGUGAGAUGUUGGGUUAAGUCCCGCAACGAGCGCAACCCUCGUUCUAUGUUGCCAGCACGUGAUGGUGGGGACUCAUAGGAGACUGCCGGGGUCAACUCGGAGGAAGGUGGGGAUGACGUCAAAUCAUCAUGCCCCUUAUGUCUUGGGCUUCACGCAUGCUACAAUGGCCGGUACAAAGGGUUGCGAUACUGUGAGGUGGAGCUAAUCCCAAAAAGCCGGUCUCAGUUCGGAUUGAGGUCUGCAACUCGACCUCAUGAAGUCGGAGUCGCUAGUAAUCGCAGAUCAGCAACGCUGCGGUGAAU